ACCUGGUUGGCUCAGUCAGUGGAGCAGGAGACUGUUAAUCUUGGAUUAGUGAGUUCAAGACCCAUACUGGGUG
This 73-nucleotide transfer RNA is filed under the name Canis lupus familiaris (dog). It matches the Rfam family "tRNA". Rfam says of the family: Transfer RNA (tRNA) molecules are approximately 80 nucleotides in length. Their secondary structure includes four short double-helical elements and three loops (D, anti-codon, and T loops). Lineage: Eukaryota; Metazoa; Chordata; Mammalia; Carnivora; Canidae. RNAcentral also lists the same sequence under 1 other name. The record is from Rfam by way of RNAcentral.